RNAcentral lists this ribosomal RNA (1255 nucleotides) under metagenome. RNAcentral's name for it is "bacterial SSU rRNA". It matches the Rfam family "Bacterial small subunit ribosomal RNA", at positions 84 to 1334 of the family's 1533-position model. The record is from RNAcentral.
CCUGGCGGCGAGCGGCGAACGGGUGAGUAAUGCAUCGGAACGUACCCAUUUGUGGGGGAUAACUAUCCGAAAGGAUAGCUAAUACCGCAUAAGUCCUGAGGGAGAAAGCAGGGGAUCGCAAGACCUUGCGCGAAUGGAGCGGCCGAUGCCGGAUUAGCUAGUUGGUAGGGUAAAGGCCUACCAAGGCGACGAUCCGUAGCGGGUCUGAGAGGAUGAUCCGCCACACUGGAACUGAGACACGGUCCAGACUCCUACGGGAGGCAGCAGUGGGGAAUUUUGGACAAUGGGCGCAAGCCUGAUCCAGCCAUUCCGCGUGAGUGAAGAAGGCCUUCGGGUUGUAAAGCUCUUUCGGCAGGAACGAAACGGUGGGGGCUAAUACCCCCUGCUAAUGACGGUACCUGAAGAAGAAGCACCGGCUAACUACGUGCCAGCAGCCGCGGUAAUACGUAGGGUGCGAGCGUUAAUCGGAAUUACUGGGCGUAAAGCGUGCGCAGGCGGUUAUGUAAGACAGAUGUGAAAUCCCCGGGCUUAACCUGGGAACUGCGUUUGUGACUGCAUAACUCGAGUGUGGCAGAGGGGGGUGGAAUUCCACGUGUAGCAGUGAAAUGCGUAGAGAUGUGGAGGAACACCGAUGGCGAAGGCAGCCCCCUGGGUCAACACUGACGCUCAUGCACGAAAGCGUGGGUAGCAAACAGGAUUAGAUACCCUGGUAGUCCACGCCCUAAACGAUGCGAACUAGGUGUUGGAGAAGGAGACUUCUUUAGUACCGCAGCUAACGCGUGAAGUUCGCCGCCUGGGGAGUACGGUCGCAAGAUUAAAACUCAAAGGAAUUGACGGGGACCCGCACAAGCGGUGGAUGAUGUGGAUUAAUUCGAUGCAACGCGAAAAACCUUACCUACCCUUGACAUGCCAGGAACUUGGUAGAGAUACCUUGGUGCCCGAAAGGGAGCCUGGACACAGGUGCUGCAUGACUGUCGUCAGCUCGUGUCGUGAGAUGUUGGGUUAAGUCCCGCAACGAGCGCAACCCUUGUCAUUAGUUGCCAUCAUUUAGUUGGGCACUCUAAUGAGACUGCCGGUGACAAACCGGAGGAAGGUGGGGAUGACGUCAAGUCCUCAUGGCCCUUAUGGGUAGGGCUUCACACGUCAUACAAUGGUCGGUACAGAGGGUUGCCAAGCCGCGAGGUGGAGCCAAUCCCAGAAAGCCGAUCGUAGUCCGGAUCGGAGUCUGCAACUCGACUCCGUGGAGUCGGAAUCG